This 492-nucleotide ribosomal RNA is filed under the name uncultured bacterium. RNAcentral describes it as "partial 16S ribosomal RNA". It matches the Rfam family "Bacterial small subunit ribosomal RNA", at positions 29 to 507 of the family's 1533-position model. The record is from RNAcentral.
AGUGAACGCUGGCGGUAGGCCUAACACAUGCAAGUCGAACGGCAGCACAGUAAGAGCUUGCUCUUACGGGUGGCGAGUGGCGGACGGGUGAGGAAUACAUCGGAAUCUACUUUUUCGUGGGGGAUAACGUAGGGAAACUUACGCUAAUACCGCAUACGACCUACGGGUGAAAGCAGGGGAUCUUCGGACCUUGCGCGAUUGAAUGAGCCGAUGUCGGAUUAGCUAGUUGGCGGGGUAAAGGCCCACCAAGGCGACGAUCCGUAGCCGGUCUGAGAGGAUGAUCAGCCACACUGGAACUGAGACACGGUCCAGACUCCUACGGGAGGCAGCAGUGGGGAAUAUUGGACAAUGGGCGCAAGCCUGAUCCAGCCAUACCGCGUGGGUGAAGAAGGCCUUCGGGUUGUAAAGCCCUUUUGUUGGGAAAGAAAAGCAGCAGGUUAAUACCCCGCCGUUCUGACGGUACCCAAAGAAUAAGCACCGGCUAACUUCGUG